Long non-coding RNA from Mya arenaria, 1440 nucleotides. RefSeq lists it as uncharacterized. NCBI's taxonomy places the organism in Eukaryota, Metazoa, Mollusca, Bivalvia, Myida, Myidae. The record is from RefSeq and is a predicted model, not a curated record. The transcript is spliced from 4 exons.
AAAAUUAAAUACAGUAUGGAUUUUGAUAAACGACAGUGUGGAUUUAGGCAGGUGCGUGUUUACACAAUUACGUCAUUGAUAUCUGUGUAAAACACAUGAGUACACCACAGCGAACAAAAUUGCUGGUUUGUAAAACCUUGGAAGAGGCUUUAAGGAAAAUCCAGGAGCUGGAAAUGCAAGAUAAUUUGUGCCUGACUCUAGUACGAAGAAUUUUGGGAAGACGAUUUGGCCUAAAAAGACCUGUAGCAGUUAACAAGCUAUUAGAUGCACAAUAGCACAAAAUGACCACCACCACUAUCACCCUAAAGUGUGUGCUUGGUGUCUGUCUACACGUGCUUGCUUCUGGAAUGUUGAAGAACAAACUGUGUUGAAACGCCAACUGGAGUUGGUUAUGGACCUUUGCCGCCCUUCAUCCAGAGCCUUCCAAAGAGAUGGCAGAUAUAUCGCUGCCUGGACCAACAGUUGACCAUGCCGUUGAGUCCAUGAUAUCAGUAGCAGCCAUGAAAACAUCUACAGAAUUACAUCUGCGGCCGUGGCUAUUAAUGGAUACAUUCUGCACCACUUCCAUGUGCUGUCAGUUUGAAACGUCUCUACUCUGACAGAAGGAAGGGAAUGAAUACCCAGGAUUGUUCCUCAGGAAAAUCUCUUCAACAGGCUGUUGUCAGUUUGCAUGCUCUUUGGAUGGAAUUACUCUACCUUGGCUUGCAGAGAAUCUGUGAUAUAAAAGACCUCUUUUGUGCUGCAUUGUGUCAUUGAUUUAUUGUAUUUUAUAUGUAUUAUGCCACUAUUGUAAAAACAAAUGGGCAUAUGUUUUAGCGUAUGUUUUCAAACAGACACAUUUAUAUUUCAAACAGACACAUUUAUAUUUUUGAAUAAUUUGAAAAUACAUUUUGUAGGUUGACUUCAAUCCAUGAAACACUAAUGGUAGGUUAUAUUUGACCAGAACAUGACAAGUAUUGUUUUCGGAGUUUUUUGGUCGAAGGUGAAGGUAAUGGCUAACAGUGGUUAUUCUGCACAAUGAACCUUGAAUUCUUUGACCUAGGACCAUUAAUAUUUAGUGAUUGAUAUAUCAGUCCAACUCAUAUGUGAAAGGGACAUGAUGAAAUUGAGCAAGAGCUUAUUAGCAUUGCAAAUUAUUAUUUGUUCAUUUUUAGCUCGACUAUUCGAAGAAUAGGUGGGCUAUACUAUCAUUAACAAUUCUGCGUUAAAGUUUUCAUUUUAUGUAAUAAAAUCAAGAGUUUUUAUCCAAUGGUAAUCAAACUUGGUCAGACUAUUUGUCGGCAUGUUAUCUUGAAGAUGUAUGAAUAUGGGUCAUCCCUGGUCAAAUUCUAGGUCACUAGGUCACAUCUUAGAGAAAAUAUUUCCAUGUCAUAAAUUCAACAUUUUUUUCAUAUCUUUAUGAAACUUGGUCAGAAUAUUUGUCUGCAUACUAUCUUGAAA